AAGAUUAUGCUUAACUACCGCAUACGACCUGAGGGUGAAAGCGGGGGACCGUAAGGCCUCGCGCGAUAGGAGCGGCCGAUGUCUGAUUAGCUAGUUGGUGGGGUAAAGGCCCACCAAGGCGACGAUCAGUAGCUGGUCUGAGAGGACGAUCAGCCACACUGGGACUGAGACACGGCCCAGACUCCUACGGGAGGCAGCAGUGGGGAAUUUUGGACAAUGGGGGCAACCCUGAUCCAGCAAUGCCGCGUGUGUGAAGAAGGCCUUCGGGUUGUAAAGCACUUUUGUCCGGAAAGAAAUCCCCUGCUCUAAUACAGCGGGGGGAUGACGGUACCGGAAGAAUAAGCACCGGCUAACUACGUGCCAGCAGCCGCGGUAAUACGUAGGGUGCGAGCGUUAAUCGGAAUUACUGGGCGUAAAGCGUGCGCAGGCGGUUUUGUAAGACAGGCGUGAAAUCCCCGAGCUCAACUUGGGAAUGGCGCUUGUGACUGCAAGGCUAGAGUAUGUCAGAGGGGGGUAGAAUUCCACGUGUAGCAGUGAAAUGCGUAGAGAUGUGGAGG
RNAcentral lists this ribosomal RNA (557 nucleotides) under Cupriavidus sp. T3-YC6798. RNAcentral's name for it is "bacterial SSU rRNA". It matches the Rfam family "Bacterial small subunit ribosomal RNA", at positions 152 to 704 of the family's 1533-position model. The record is from RNAcentral. Lineage: Bacteria; Pseudomonadati; Pseudomonadota; Betaproteobacteria; Burkholderiales; Burkholderiaceae.